RNAcentral lists this long non-coding RNA (288 nucleotides) under Erythranthe guttata (spotted monkey flower). Its description in RNAcentral is "long non-coding RNA (EGUT_LNC003213)". The record is from RNAcentral. Lineage: Eukaryota; Viridiplantae; Streptophyta; Magnoliopsida; Lamiales; Phrymaceae.
AUUAUGACUUUGCAAGGAAACGCGUAAAAGACUCGUACCACAAGUCUAGAUAUGUCGUAAUAUAAGAAGGGGAGUUUCCUUGUGUUUUAAUUCUUUAUUUUAUCAUUAAUUGAUUAAUAGUGGGAAUUAUCUUUAUACAAGCAUAAUUAUCUUUUUAUAUUUUAUUGUCAUAUAUUUGUAGAGUUUUAAUAGAUAUGGGAAUGAUUUGUUGAUAAGGCAAAGAAAUCUCAUAUAUCUCUAAGACUUAUAUUCUUACGUGACUUAUGUAUUUUUAAUAUUUUGGUCUCU